GACGAACGCUGGCGGCGUGCUUAACACAUGCAAGUCGAACGGAAAGGCCCUGCUUUUGUGGGGUGCUCGAGUGGCGAACGGGUGAGUAACACGUGAGUAACCUGCCCUUGACUUUGGGAUAACUUCAGGAAACUGGGGCUAAUACCGGAUAGGAGCUCCUGCUGCAUGGUGGGGGUUGGAAAGUUUCGGCGGUUGGGGAUGGACUCGCGGCUUAUCAGCUUGUUGGUGGGGUAGUGGCUUACCAAGGCUUUGACGGGUAGCCGGCCUGAGGGGGUGACCGGCCACAUUGGGACUGAGAUACGGCCCAGACUCCUACGGGAGGCAGCAGUGGGGAAUAUUGCACAAUGGGCGGAAGCCUGAUGCAGCAACGCCGCGUGCGGGAUGACGGCCUUCGGGUUGUAAACCGCUUUCGCCUGUGACGAAGCGUGAGUGACGGUAAUGGGUAAAGAAGCACCGGCUAACUACGUGCCAGCAGCCGCGGUGAUACGUAGGGUGCGAGCGUUGUCCGGAUUUAUUGGGCGUAAAGGGCUCGUAGGUGGUUGAUCGCGUCGGAAGUGUAAUCUUGGGGCUUAACCCUGAGCGUGCUUUCGAUACGGGUUGACUUGAGGAAGGUAGGGGAGAAUGGAAUUCCUGGUGGAGCGGUGGAAUGCGCAGAUAUCAGGAGGAACACCAGUGGCGAAGGCGGUUCUCUGGGCCUUUCCUGACGCUGAGGAGCGAAAGCGUGGGGAGCGAACAGGCUUAGAUACCCUGGUAGUCCACGCUGUAAACGGUGGGUACUAGGUGUGGGGUCCAUUCCACGGGUUCCGUGCCGUAGCUAACGCUUUAAGUACCCCGCCUGGGGAGUACGGCCGCAAGGCUAAAACUCAAAGGAAUUGACGGGGCCCCGCACAAGCGGCGGAGCAUGCGGAUUAAUUCGAUGCAACGCGUAGAACCUUACCUGGGUUUGACAUGGAUCGGGAGUGCUCAGAGAUGGGUGUGCCUCUUUUGGGGUCGGUUCACAGGUGGUGCAUGGCUGUCGUCAGCUCGUGUCGUGAGAUGUUGGGUUAAGUCCCGCAACGAGCGCAACCCUUGUUCACUGUUGCCAGCACGUUAUGGUGGGGACUCAGUGGAGACCGCCGGGGUCAACUCGGAGGAAGGUGGGGAUGACGUCAAGUCAUCAUGCCCCUUAUGUCCAGGGCUUCACGCAUGCUACAAUGGCUGGUACAGAGAGUGGCGAGCCUGUGAGGGUGAGCGAAUCUCGGAAAGCCGGUCUCAGUUCGGAUUGGGGUCUGCAACUCGACCUCACGAAGUCGGAGUCGCUAGUAAUCGCAGAUCAGCAACGCUGCGGUGAAUACGUUCCCGGG
Molecule: ribosomal RNA, 1343 nt
Filed under: uncultured bacterium
Lineage: Bacteria
Description: 16S ribosomal RNA
Rfam family: Bacterial small subunit ribosomal RNA
Source: RNAcentral